This 274-nucleotide ribosomal RNA is filed under the name uncultured bacterium. Its description in RNAcentral is "partial 16S ribosomal RNA". It matches the Rfam family "Bacterial small subunit ribosomal RNA", at positions 523 to 796 of the family's 1533-position model. The record is from RNAcentral.
AUACGGAGGGUGCGAGCGUUAAUCGGAAUUACUGGGCGUAAAGCGUACGUAGGCGGUUGGUUAAGUUAGAUGUGAAAGCCCCGGGCUUAACCUGGGAACUGCAUUUAAAACUGGCGAACUAGAGUUGAGUAGAGGGGAGUGGAAUUUCAGGUGUAGCGGUGAAAUGCGUAGAGAUCUGAAGGAACACCAGUGGCGAAGGCGACUCCCUGGACUCGAACUGACGCUGAGGUACGAAAGCGUGGGUAGCAAACGGGAUUAGAUACCCGUGUAGUCC